UACGUAGGGGGCAAGCGUUGUCCGGAUUUAUUGGGCGUAAAGAGCGUGUAGGCGGCCUGGUAGGUCAGCUGUGAAAACUCGAGGCUCAACCUCGAGACGCCGGCGGAAACCAUCUGGCUAGAGUCCGGAAGAGGAGAGUGGAAUUCCUGGUGUAGCGGUGAAAUGCGCAGAUAUCAGGAGGAACACCGGUGGCGAAGGCGGGUCUCUGGGCCGAUACUGACGCUGAGGAGCGAAAGCGUGGGGAGCGAACAGG
RNAcentral lists this ribosomal RNA (253 nucleotides) under uncultured bacterium. RNAcentral's name for it is "partial 16S ribosomal RNA". It matches the Rfam family "Bacterial small subunit ribosomal RNA", at positions 524 to 776 of the family's 1533-position model. The record is from RNAcentral.